GCAAUUCGACGCGCCCUUCGGGGUGGCGGCGGACGGGUUCGUAACGCGGGGCCGUGCCCAGAUCUAGGAAAGCCACUGGAAACGGUGAGUAAUACCUUAUACGCCCUUCGGGGGAAGAUUUAUCGGAUUUGGAUCGGCCCGCGUUAGAUUAGGUAGUUGGUGGGGUAAUGGCCUACCAAGCCUACGAUCUAUAGCUGGUUUUAGAGGAUGAUCAGCAACACUGGGACUGAGACACGGCCCAGACUCCUACGGGAGGCAGCAGUGGGGAAUCUUGGACAAUGGGGGCAACCCUGAUCCAGCCAUGCCGCGUGAGUGAUGAAGGCCUUAGGGUCGUAAAGCUCUUUCGCCUGUGAUGAUAAUGACAGUAGCAGGUAAAGAAACCCCGGCUAACUCCGUGCCAGCAGCCGCGGUAAUACGGAGGGGGUUAGCGUUGUUCGGAAUUACUGGGCGUAAAGCGCGCGUAGGCGGAUUAGUCAGUUAGAGGUGAAAUCCCAGGGCUCAACCCUGGAACUGCCUUUAAUACUGCUAGUCUUGAGUUCGAGAGAGGUGAGUGGAAUUCCGAGUGUAGAGGUGAAAUUCGUAGAUAUUCGGAGGAACACCAGUGGCGAAGGCGGCUUACUGGCUCGAUACUGACGCUGAGGUACGAAAGUGUGGGGGAGCAAACAGGAUUAGAUACCCUGGUAGUCCACACCG
This 693-nucleotide ribosomal RNA is filed under the name uncultured bacterium. Its description in RNAcentral is "bacterial SSU rRNA". It matches the Rfam family "Bacterial small subunit ribosomal RNA", at positions 57 to 802 of the family's 1533-position model. The record is from RNAcentral.